This is a long non-coding RNA of Amphimedon queenslandica, 219 nucleotides long. RefSeq lists it as uncharacterized. The record is from RefSeq and is a predicted model, not a curated record. The transcript has 3 exons. NCBI's taxonomy places the organism in Eukaryota, Metazoa, Porifera, Demospongiae, Haplosclerida, Niphatidae.
ACUGAAGAAUUGAAGACACCAUUGACUCCAAUAAAGCUAGAGACAACAAUUCAAAAUGAGGAACCAGCUACUAAUUACUUACCCACACAGAUCAGGAGAUGGAGGAGUAAAGUGUAAUAAUAAUAAAGAUAAAGGAACAGCAACCAACACUUUGAAUGAAUCUCAGGAACAUGGAAGUACUUCAAUAGAGAAAGGACAGUCUGGUAAGAUAUGUACACA